GACGAACCUGACAAACGUUAUUCGGAAUUACUGGGCUUAACGGGUGCGUAGGCGGCGCGACAAGUUGGGUGUGAAAUCCCUCGGCUCAACCGAGGAACUGCGCUCAAUACUGUCGUGCUCGAGGGAGACAGAGGUGAGCGGAACUUAGGGUGGAGCGGUGAAAUGCGUUGAUAUCCUAAGGAACACCGGUAGCGAAAGCGGCUCACUGGUUCUUUUCUGACGCUGAAGCACGAAAGCUAGGGUAGCGAACGGG
RNAcentral lists this ribosomal RNA (253 nucleotides) under uncultured bacterium. RNAcentral describes it as "partial 16S ribosomal RNA". It matches the Rfam family "Bacterial small subunit ribosomal RNA", at positions 524 to 776 of the family's 1533-position model. The record is from RNAcentral.